GCGGUAAUUUGACCGUGCAAAGGUAGCAUAAUAAUUUAUUUUUUAAUUGAAAGCUGGAAUGAAAGGUUGGAUGAGAAAAUAACUGUUUUUAUUUUGAUUAAUUAGAAUUUUAUUUUUAAGUAAAAAAGCUUAAAUAUUAAUAAAAGACGAGAAGACCCUAUAGAGUUUUAAUUUAGUUGGGGUGAUUGAAAAAUUUAAUAAACUUUUUUUGUAAUUAUACAUUAAUUUAUGAUUGAUUGAUCCUUUAUUUAAGAUUAAAAGUAAUAAUUACCUUAGGGAUAACAGCGUAAUUUUUUUAAAGAGUUCAAAUCGAAAAAAAAGAUUGCGACCUCGAUGUUGGAUUAAAAUUAAGUUUUGGUGUAGGAGCU
Molecule: ribosomal RNA, 368 nt
Filed under: Desmelytrurus bicolor
Lineage: Eukaryota; Metazoa; Arthropoda; Insecta; Coleoptera; Curculionidae
Description: partial 16S ribosomal RNA
Source: RNAcentral